GACGAACGCUGGCGGCGUGCUUAACACAUGCAAGUCGAACGGAAAGGCCCUGCUUUUGUGGGGUGCUCGAGUGGCGAACGGGUGAGUAACACGUGAGUAACCUGCCCUUGACUUUGGGAUAACUUCAGGAAACUGGGGCUAAUACCGGAUAGGAGCUCCUGCUGCAUGGUGGGGGUUGGAAAGUUUCGGCGGUUGGGGAUGGACUCGCGGCUUAUCAGCUUGUUGGUGGGGUAGUGGCUUACCAAGGCUUUGACGGGUAGCCGGCCUGGAAGGGUGACCGGCCCCAGGGGGGUACGGGAGGGGCCAGGCGGCAAACGGGGGCAAGAGGGGGGGAAUUGUCAGAAAGGGGCGGAGGGCGGAUGGAGGAACGCCGGGUGGGGAAAGACGGCUUUGGGGUUGUAACAAGUUUGUGCGUGUGCAGAAGCGUGAUGGAGGGAAAUGGUGAAAAAAGCACGGGUAAAUAAGUG
Molecule: ribosomal RNA, 467 nt
Filed under: uncultured bacterium
Lineage: Bacteria
Description: partial 16S ribosomal RNA
Rfam family: Bacterial small subunit ribosomal RNA
Source: RNAcentral